RNAcentral lists this long non-coding RNA (3280 nucleotides) under Triticum aestivum (bread wheat). Its description in RNAcentral is "long non-coding RNA (TAES_LNC023308)". Lineage: Eukaryota; Viridiplantae; Streptophyta; Magnoliopsida; Poales; Poaceae. The record is from RNAcentral.
AUUCAGCCAAGUAGUGUGAGCUCAUCCAGUUCUUUCACUCAGUUGAAGAUGCCCUUGAAGAAGGUUUGUUCCCUUUUUCAACUUUACUGUUUUUUCUGCUAAAAGAAGCAUUGCCUCUAAUAUUGACUGGUUUGAUAUAUAGAGAGUUCGAACAGAUGGGAAUCAUGAGCCACAUUUGGAAGAUUCAGGAAGUCUUGGUGUUCUGGUAUAGAGCCGGCCCCCGCCUACACAGCAGACAACUCAUAGGCUCCCUUGUCGACACAAGUCUUAGAAUGCAAGAUAUGAAGCGCGUGACGCGACCUCCUACCCGCAUGCAUAUACGGGUAACCCGACGGAUAAAAGUUUCACUUGGCGGGUGCGGGUAUGGAAUGGUAGUACCCGUCGGGUACUGACGUGGUGUUGCAAAAGGCAUAUGCCACGGGGUGGCUAAGAUCGGUGUUGGUGCAGCGCUCUGCAGAUUCGGCACCCGCAGGGAUUGCGCCGGAGCGCAGACACGUGAAGUACCCAGGUUUAGGGCCCUCCCGGAGGAGGUAAACCUUGUUUGAUGAAUUCACAAUCGAAUUCGAUGAAUAAGAAAUGAAUUCGUUGAAAAACAAUCGAAUUCGAUGAAUAAGAAUCGAAUUCGAGAAAGCCCCUGGUAAAGCUGAACCUCGCAGGUGCGAUACAUGCUGAGCCGAGGUGGCCGGCGGCGCCAAGCUCUGGGAAGGUGUGAAGAUGAGGAGGGAGGGAGGGGGUGCAGCGAGACCCGUGCACAGAAGAGUGAGGGGAAGCAGCGGUUUCUACUGGCAUAUUCUAGAUGUUGCUUGCUGCACGUAGUGUGAGACGAAUGGACUACUCGGGCUGCAGCGUUGACGAACAAGACGAGCAACUUGCUAUCUACUGGCACUGGCAGGCAGCCAUUCUCAAGCACGGCCAGGUCCCGCCGCGUGGCACAAGGGCCCGUCCCGCCGUCCCAUCCUUGUUGCACCACCUUCCUUCCCCUCCAAGGCUUGAAGUGGUACUACUACAGUAGUACUACUGCUCUGCUCGCGCCCAUGUUUCCAAACUCUUCCAUCACCGUCCAAAACAGCUUCGGCAGGGAGUGGAGAGCAUGCCCCGCCGCCAUCUCCCUUUGGGUCCUCCGCGUCACGCGAGCGAAGGACCUAAACCCUAAACCCUAAUGAGCCGCCCCGGCCCGACCUCCCCGACGCAAAUGCGCGCUCCGCCGGCCCCGCCGCUCCCUGCCGUGGUGGGCUGGGAGCUGGAGCGGAACAAGGCGUGGCUGCAGCAGCAUGCCAACCCACGCGUGCGGCAGCUCACGUUCCAAAUCACAUCCGAUCUGGUCUCUCUUUAUCCCAUUUUUUUCUUCACUUUUAAGCUGCAUGGUGUUCGUGUUCGACUGUAAAGCAAGUGAUUUUUCGACCUCAUCCUUUAGCUAAUUUGGAGAUUCUCCAAAAAAAUCACUUGUUUAGGGAUGAACCGUUUUCUCUCAGUUAAGUCAAUUUUUGUAAGCAAGUGAUUUUUUUUAUCUCCUCCAAAUCACCUACGCGAAAGUGUGAAGGUCAUCAAGUAUCUUUAGAUCCAAGAGCAACGUGGCAGCAUCCAGAAGCAACGGCAGACCAAAAGCAACAUGUUGUGUCUGUGGCUGUUCCAACUGGCUGCACCGCAUUGAAGGCUCCGACUGGCUGCCCUGCCACAUCACCGCAUCAAAUGGAAGGGGAUCCAGCUGGUUGUGUCUGUGGCUGUUCCAACCGGCGCAUCGCCGGCAAAUCCUCUUCCCACACUGGUGGUUCUUCUUCCCCUCUUCGCAUCGCUGGUAUCAGAUCUCCCCGGACUCGGUCUUUGUCGGGUCAAUUGUCAGGUACAUCACACCGGCUUUCAGAGGCAUUGGGUGGCGGAGGCGAAUCAGAUUCAUCAACAUUUUUUAAUAGACGAACUAUGUAAAAAAAUCAUGAACAUUUUUCAUUUCCCGAACAUUCGUUUUCAAAAUUCUGAAGACUUUUUUUAAUAUGCGAACAUUUUUUCUAAACCGUGAACAUUUUCUAAAUGCACAAACAUUUAAAAACCGUAAAGACCUUUUUAAAAAUCUCUCUGUGAACUCGUAUCUAUUGGGCCAGGCCAAGCCAUCAACUACUCUUGGGCCUCGGUCCAACAGCUUAAAAGGCCGAGGACGAGAACACGUGUCGGCCUUACGAUACCAGGACGAGGACACGCAUUGGCAUUACAUUGUCUCAGCGGCCACGCGCGGUAAUGAAAGUGUUACCGCUGAAAAAUAUCGUUGCUUCCGGGACCAAGCAAACGGUGAUGCUCUAGUUGUCAUCGAACAAUACCAUCUUCUCCGUGACUCGUCUGCUUCUUCUCUGUUACGCUAGAGAAACGCGGCAACGGCCACCCUUCUCUCGCGCCUACCACAUGCACAACUACCAUGGAUUUUUGAAGGAGCCUCCGACCACGCCCACUUAACAAAUCUUCACUCGAGGGCGCCUCUUCCUUCUCCUUCUCCUCUAUUGGUAAAAGAAUGAGAUAUUCUUCACUCGAGGGAGCCUCUUCCUUCUCCUUCUCCUCUAUUGGAAUGAGGGAGGUGGGCUGGUGUGAGCUUUGAGCUUGUUUACGGUUGCGACCAGCAGGAGUAGUAGUCCAACAAUUAUCAUGCAAAUAGGAACCAACCAUCCAACACACAAGCAACCAGAGAGAUGAAGGGAGAGGCAUUGUUCACACGCACCUCGCGGAGACGGGACGGAGCCGCCGACGCCGGCCCCGAAUCUAGAACCAAGAAGGGCUAGUCGAAAUUACCUGUGGCAAGAAGCAUUCUCAAAAAGUCGUAUGGGGUGUCGAUUUGCGUGGGCAGAGAUUGGCCUUUGUGAACAGAACCCGCUGCCGCGUGUAGGCUGCAAACCACGUGUCAUGGUCUCAGUUAGAGCCGGCCCCCGCCUACAUGGCAGACAACUCAUAGGCUCCCUUGUCGACACGGGUCUUAGAAUGCAAGAUAUGAAGCGCGCGACGCGACCUCCUACCCGCAUGCAUAUACGGGUAACCCGACGGAUAAAAGUUUCACUUGGCGGGUGCGGGUAUGGAAUGGUAGUACCCGUCAGGUACUGACAUGGUGUUGCAGAAGGCAUAUGCCACGGGGUGGCUAAGAUAGGUGUUGGGGCAGCGCUCUGCAGAUUCAGCACCCGCAGGGAUUGCGCCAGAGCGCGGAUACGUGAAGUACCCAGGUUUAGGGCCCUCCCGGAGGAGGUAACACCUUGUUUGAUGAAUUCACAAUCGAAUUCGAUGAAUAAGAAAUGAAUUCGUUGAAAAA